This 336-nucleotide unclassified non-coding RNA is filed under the name soil metagenome. Its description in RNAcentral is "partial contains 5.8S ribosomal RNA, internal transcribed spacer 2, and large subunit ribosomal RNA". The stretch from base 1 to 120 matches the Rfam family "5.8S ribosomal RNA", at positions 35 to 154 of the family's 154-position model. The record is from RNAcentral.
GAUGAAGAACGUAGCGAAAUGCGAUAAGUAGUGUGAAUUGCAGAAUUCAGUGAAUCAUCGAAUCUUUGAACGCACAUUGCGCCCCAUGGUAUUCCGUGGGGCAUGCCUGUUCGAGCGUCAUUUACCCCCUCAAGCUCCGCUUGGUGUUGGGCGUCUGUCCCGCUUCGCGCGCGGACUCGCCCCAAAGGUAUUGGCAGCGGUCGUGCCAGCUUCUCGCGCAGCACAUUGCGCUUCUCGAGGCACCGGUGGGCCCGCGUCCAUCAAGCUCACCCCCCCAGUUUGACCUCGGAUCAGGUAGGGAUACCUGCUGAACUUAAGCAUAUCAAUAAGCGGGGA